UACGUAGGUGGCAAGCGUUAUCCGGAAUUAUUGGGCGUAAAGAGGGAGCAGGCGGCAGCAAAGGUCUGUGGUGAAAGCCUUCGGCUUAACCGGAGUAGUGCAUUGGAAACUGGGAGACUUGAGUGCAGAAGAGGAGAGUGGAACUCCAUGUGUAGCGGUGAAAUGCGUAGAUAUAUGGAAGAACACCAGUGGCGAAAGCGGCUCUCUGGUCUGUAACUGACGCUGAGGUUCGAAAGCGUGGGUAGCAAACAGG
This 253-nucleotide ribosomal RNA is filed under the name uncultured bacterium. Its description in RNAcentral is "partial 16S ribosomal RNA". It matches the Rfam family "Bacterial small subunit ribosomal RNA", at positions 524 to 776 of the family's 1533-position model. The record is from RNAcentral.